Molecule: ribosomal RNA, 433 nt
Filed under: uncultured bacterium
Lineage: Bacteria
Description: partial 16S ribosomal RNA
Rfam family: Bacterial small subunit ribosomal RNA
Source: RNAcentral
AACGAACGCUGGCGGCAUGCCUAACACAUGCAAGUCGAACGAGACCUUCGGGUCUAGUGGCGCACGGGUGCGUAACGCGUGGGAACCUGCCCUUAGGUUCGGAAUAACUCCCCGAAAGGGGUGCUAAUACCGGAUAAUGUCUUCGGACCAAAGAUUUAUCGCCUUUGGAUGGGCCCGCGUUGGAUUAGCUAGUUGGUAGGGUAAAAGCCUACCAAGGCGACGAUCCAUAGCUGGUCUGAGAGGAUGAUCAGCCACACUGGGACUGAGACACGGCCCAGACUCCGACGGGAGGCAGCAGUGGGGAGUAUUGGACAAGGGGCGAAAGCCUGAUCCAGCAACGCCGCGUGAGUGAUGAAGGCCUUAGGGUUGUAAAGCUCUUUUACCCGAGAUGAUAAUGACGGUACCGGGAGAAUAAGCUCCGGCUAACUCCGUG